Molecule: ribosomal RNA, 578 nt
Filed under: uncultured bacterium
Lineage: Bacteria
Description: bacterial SSU rRNA
Rfam family: Bacterial small subunit ribosomal RNA
Source: RNAcentral
AAGGGAGAGUAACGGGUGGUUACUUACCCUCAGGACCGGAAUAGUGUCGGGAAACUGACAGUAAUGCCGGAUAAUAUCUUUGGAUCAAAGGUGUGAUUCCGCCUGGGGAUAGGACCGCUUUCUAUUAGCUUGUUGGCGGGGUAAUGGCCCACCAAGGCUGAGAUGGAUACCGGGUGUGAGAGCAUGGCCCGGCUCACUGGGACUGAGACACUGCCCAGACACCUACGGGUGGCUGCAGUCGAGAAUCUUCGGCAAUGGGCGAAAGCCUGACCGAGCGACGCCGCGUGCGGGAUGAAGGCCUUCGGGUUGUAAACCGCUGUCAGUUGGGAGGAAGGUGCUGUGGAGAGCAGCAUUUGACCGAUCUUCAGAGGAAGGACGGGCUAAGUUCGUGCCAGCAGCCGCGGUAAGACGAACCGUCCGAACGUUAUUCGGUAUCACUGGGCUUAAAGAGUUCGUAGGCGGCCUAGUAGGUGAGGUGUGAAAUCCAACGGCUCAACCGUUGAAUUGCGCUUCAAACCGCUAGGCUCGAGGAUGGCAGGGGUGUUGGGAACAGAUGGUGGAGCGGUGAAAUGCGUUGA